AUUAAACGCUGGCGGCAUGCCUUACACAUGCAAGUCGAACGGCAGCACGGGGGCAACCCUGGUGGCGAGUGGCGAACGGGUGAGUAAAGCAUCGGAACGUGCCCUGGAGUGGGGGAUAACGUAGCGAAAGUUACGCUAAUACCGCAUAUUCUGUGAGCAGGAAAGCAGGGGAUCGCAAGACCUUGCGCUUUGGGAGCGGCCGAUGUCGGAUUAGCUAGUUGGUGGGGUAAAGGCCUACCAAGGCGACGAUCCGUAGCGGGUCUGAGAGGAUGAUCCGCCACACUGGGACUGAGACACGG
This 299-nucleotide ribosomal RNA is filed under the name uncultured bacterium. RNAcentral's name for it is "partial 16S ribosomal RNA". It matches the Rfam family "Bacterial small subunit ribosomal RNA", at positions 30 to 329 of the family's 1533-position model. The record is from RNAcentral.